RNAcentral lists this ribosomal RNA (597 nucleotides) under Collema glaucophthalmum. RNAcentral describes it as "eukaryotic LSU rRNA". It matches the Rfam family "Eukaryotic large subunit ribosomal RNA", at positions 681 to 1283 of the family's 3401-position model. Lineage: Eukaryota; Fungi; Ascomycota; Lecanoromycetes; Peltigerales; Collemataceae. The record is from RNAcentral.
UCCCCGCGAGUGUUUGGGCGUCAACCCCGGGCGCGGAAUGAAAGUGAACGGAGGUGGGAGCCUUCGGGCGCACCAUCGACCGAUCCAGAAGUCUUCGGAUGGAUUUGAGUACGAGCGCGGCCGUUGGGACCCGAAAGAUGGUGAACUAUGCCUGGGUAGGGUGAAGCCAGAGGAAACUCUGGUGGAGGCUCGCAGCGGUUCUGACGUGCAAAUCGAUCGUCAAACCUGGGCAUAGGGGCGAAAGACUAAUCGAACCAUCUAGUAGCUGGUUCCUGUCGAAGUUUCCCUCAGGAUAGCAGCCGCGCGGGCCGGUUUUAUGAGGUAAAGCGAAUGAUUAGAGGCCUUGGGGGUGCAACACCCUUAACCUAUUCUCAAACUUUAAAUAUGUAAGAAGCCCCUGUUGCUUCGGUGAACGGGGGCAUUCGAACGCGGCGCGGCUAGUGGGCCAUUUUUGGUAAGCAGAACUGGCGAUGCGGGAUGAACCGAACGCGGGGUUAAGGUGCCGGAAUGCACGCUCAUCAGACACCACAAAAGAUGUCAAUUCAUCCGGACAGCCGGACGGUGGCCAUGGAAGCCGGAACCCGCCAAGGAGUGCGU